Molecule: ribosomal RNA, 547 nt
Filed under: uncultured bacterium
Lineage: Bacteria
Description: partial 16S ribosomal RNA
Rfam family: Bacterial small subunit ribosomal RNA
Source: RNAcentral
UGGGGAAUUUUGGACAAUGGGCGAAAGCCUGAUCCAGCAAUGCCGCGUGUGUGAAGAAGGCCUUCGGGUUGUAAAGCACUUUUGUCCGGAAAGAAAUCCUUGGCUCUAAUACAGUCGGGGGAUGACGGUACCGGAAGAAUAAGCACCGGCUAACUACGUGCCAGCAGCCGCGGUAAUACGUAGGGUGCAAGCGUUAAUCGGAAUUACUGGGCGUAAAGCGUGCGCAGGCGGUUUGCUAAGGCCGAUGUGAAAUCCCCGGGCUCAACCUGGGAACUGCAUUGGUGACUGGCAGGCUAGAGUAUGGCAGAGGGGGGUAGAAUUCCACGUGUAGCAGUGAAAUGCGUAGAGAUGUGGAGGAAUACCGAUGGCGAAGGCAGCCCCCUGGGCCAAUACUGACGCUCAUGCACGAAAGCGUGGGGAGCAAACAGGAUUAGAUACCCUGGUAGUCCACGCCCUAAACGAUGUCAACUAGUUGUUGGGGAUUCAUUUCCUUAGUAACGUAGCUAACGCGUGAAGUUGACCGCCUGGGGAGUACGGUCGCAAGAUU